UACGUAGGGGGCAAGCGUUGUCCGGAAUUAUUGGGCGUAAAGAGCGCGUAGGCGGUCCGAUAAGUCGUCUGUGAAAUCCCAGGGCUCAACCCUGGAACUGCCUUUAAUACUGGCAAUCUCGAGUCCGAGAGAGGUGAGUGGAAUUCCGAGUGUAGAGGUGAAAUUCGUAGAUAUUCGGAGGAACACCAGUGGCGAAGGCGGCUCACUGGCUCGGUACUGACGCUGAGGUGCGAAAGCGUGGGGAGCAAACAGG
Molecule: ribosomal RNA, 253 nt
Filed under: uncultured bacterium
Lineage: Bacteria
Description: partial 16S ribosomal RNA
Rfam family: Bacterial small subunit ribosomal RNA
Source: RNAcentral